AAACUCAAAUGAAUUGACGGGGAGCACCACAACGGGUGGAGCUUGCGGUUUAAUUGGAUUCAACGCCGGAAAUCUUACCGGGACCGACAGCAAUAUGAAGGCCAGGCUGAAGACUUUGCCGGAUUAGCUGAGAGGUGGUGCAUGGCCGUCGUCAGUUCGUACUGUGAAGCAUCCUGUUAAGUCAGGCAACGAGCGAGACCCACGUCCACAGUUGCCAGCAUACCCUCCGGGGUGAUGGGUACACUGUGGAGACCGCCGCUGCUAAAGCGGAGGAAGGAAUGGGCAACGGUAGGUCAGUAUGCCCCGAAUCUCCCGGGCUACACGCGGGCUACAAUGGUUGGUACAAUGGGCAUCUACCCCGAAAGGGGAAGGAAAUCUCUUAAAGCCAAUCGUAGUUCGGAUUGAGGGCUGCAACUCGCCCUCAUGAAGCUGGAAUCCGUAGUAAUCGCGUUUCAACAGAACGCGGUGAAUACGUCCCUGCUCCUU
RNAcentral lists this ribosomal RNA (486 nucleotides) under uncultured Methanosaeta sp. Its description in RNAcentral is "bacterial SSU rRNA". It matches the Rfam family "Archaeal small subunit ribosomal RNA", at positions 852 to 1338 of the family's 1478-position model. The record is from RNAcentral. Lineage: Archaea; Methanobacteriati; Methanobacteriota; Methanomicrobia; Methanotrichales; Methanotrichaceae.